Molecule: long non-coding RNA, 611 nt
Organism: Trachymyrmex cornetzi
Lineage: Eukaryota; Metazoa; Arthropoda; Insecta; Hymenoptera; Formicidae
Exons: 4
Source: RefSeq, a predicted model, not a curated record
AACGAAACUACCCUUCUGUCAGUCCAAAAGUCAUCGCGUAAGCUUGCGGGUGGAACGCGACGUAUGCGGAAGUCGUGUACUGGUGUGAAUUCGUAUGAAUAGUGAUCUAGUUUUAUAAACAGAAAAUACGCACUUCAAAAGGAAUUAUAGUGCUACGAGAGGCGAAGCGACAAAACGACCAACUAUUUGCGCUCUUUCGAAAUGUAUUUGCUCUCGAUGGUGACGACUAUUUGUCUAUGCUAACAUGACAAUGAAACGCUAAAGAACUUUCCUUUUAUAAAAAUGGAUGAAGGAGCCCGUAUCCGUCGAUAAAUGUUAGUAAAAGUUGAAGGGACAUACCUACACAACGAAUAGCAAAAGCCUGCCUCGUCCAUUGCGAUCAGCUACAUAUCUCACAUUAAGAUGACAUAGAAUGGGUUGGGUGGCGCUAGGGCGGUGUGCGAGUGGUGGCGGCCGCUUCUCAUCUAUCCUCUCGCUAUCUCUCACCUCCUUCGUGAGUUCCUUAAUCUUCACAUCCCUUUGUAUCCUCACACUUGCCUUUUCACUCGUCUCUCUCGUUCGUGCCGAAGACAUGUACGUAUAGCACACAAGAUAAUCGCCAUAUACGAAUU